This 783-nucleotide ribosomal RNA is filed under the name uncultured Weissella sp. RNAcentral's name for it is "bacterial SSU rRNA". It matches the Rfam family "Bacterial small subunit ribosomal RNA", at positions 28 to 765 of the family's 1533-position model. Lineage: Bacteria; Bacillati; Bacillota; Bacilli; Lactobacillales; Lactobacillaceae. The record is from RNAcentral.
GAUGAACGCUGGCGGCGUGCCUAAUACAUGCAAGUCGAACGCAUUGUGGUUGAAAUGAUAUGAAGAACUUGUUCAGAUUUGAUUUUCAACAUUGCAAUGAGUGGCGAACGGGUGAGUAACACGUGGGAAACCUACCUCUUAGCAGGGGAUAACAUUUGGAAACAAAUGCUAAUACCGUAUAAUAAUUAAAACCGCAUGGUUUUAGUUUAAAAGAUGGUCUUGCUAUCACUAAGAGAUGGUCCCGCGGUGUAUUAGUUAGUUGGUGAGGUAAUGGCUCACCAAGACAAUGAUACAUAGCCGAGUUGAGAGACUGACCGGCCACAAUGGGACUGAGACACGGCCCAUACUCCUACGGGAGGCAGCAGUAGGGAAUCUUCCACAAUGGACGAAAGUCUGAUGGAGCAACGCCGCGUGUGUGAUGAAGGGUUUCGGCUCGUAAAACACUGUUGUAAGAGAAGAAUGACAUUGAGAGUAACUGUUCAAUGUGUGACGGUAUCUUACCAGAAAGGAACGGCUAAAUACGUGCCAGCAGCCGCGGUAAUACGUAUGUUCCAAGCGUUAUCCGGAUUUAUUGGGCGUAAAGCGAGCGCAGACGGUUAUUUAAGUCUGAAGUGAAAGCCCUCGGCUCAACCGAGGAAUUGCUUUGGAAACUGGAUAACUUGAGUGCAGUAGAGGAAAGUGGAACUCCAUGUGUAGCGGUGAAAUGCGUAGAUAUAUGGAAGAACACCAGUGGCGAAAGCGGCUUUCUGGACUGUAACUGACGUUGAGGCUCGAAAGUGUGGG